This 21-nucleotide microRNA is filed under the name Medicago truncatula (barrel medic). Its description in RNAcentral is "mtr-miR5753". Lineage: Eukaryota; Viridiplantae; Streptophyta; Magnoliopsida; Fabales; Fabaceae. The record is from miRBase by way of RNAcentral.
AUUUUGAUUGGUGCCAACUAA